This 250-nucleotide ribosomal RNA is filed under the name uncultured Gammaproteobacteria bacterium. RNAcentral describes it as "partial 16S ribosomal RNA". It matches the Rfam family "Bacterial small subunit ribosomal RNA", at positions 524 to 773 of the family's 1533-position model. Lineage: Bacteria; Pseudomonadati; Pseudomonadota; Gammaproteobacteria. The record is from RNAcentral.
UACGAAGGGUGCAAGCGUUACUCGGAAUUACUGGGCGUAAAGCGUGCGUAGGCGGUUCGUUAAGUCCGAUGUGAAAGCCCUGGGCUCAACCUGGGAACUGCAUUGGAAACUGGCGGGCUGGAGUGCGGUAGAGGGUGGCGGAAUUCCCGGUGUAGCAGUGAAAUGCGUAGAUAUCGGGAGGAACACCCGUGGCGAAGGCGGCCACCUGGACCAGCACUGACGCUGAGGCACGAAAGCGUGGGGAUCAAAC